Molecule: ribosomal RNA, 427 nt
Filed under: Rhinella hoogmoedi group sp. ABGD cluster 27
Lineage: Eukaryota; Metazoa; Chordata; Amphibia; Anura; Bufonidae
Description: partial large subunit ribosomal RNA
Rfam family: Bacterial large subunit ribosomal RNA
Source: RNAcentral
CUUGAACUUUAUAAGAGGUCCAGCCUGCCCAGUGACUCUGUUCAACGGCCGCGGUAUCCUAACCGUGCGAAGGUAGCGUAAUCACUUGUUCUUUAAAUGUGGACUAGUAUGAAUGGCACUACGAGGGUUAUACUGUCUCCUUUUUCUAAUCAGUGAAACUAAUUUUCCCGUGAAGAAGCGGGAAUAUAACUAUAAGACGAGAAGACCCUAUGGAGCUUUAAACAACCCAGCAAUUACUUCUAAAAUUUUAAAUUUCAGAAUAUUCAUUCUUUAAGUAGUAUGUCUGCAAGUUUUUGGUUGGGGUGACCAUGGAGAAUAACAUAACCUCCAUAUUGAAUGAAUUCCCUUCUAAGCUGAAAAUCACCAAUUGAAGCAUCAACACACUGACAUCUAUUGACCCAAUAUAUUUGAUCAACGAACCAAGUUA